AUCAGGUAAUUCUGUUCCAAUGCUCUCUAGUGACUUACAUGGUUUAACUGGAGGCCUGUACUUUCUUUAGGCAGAACUGUUCCACUGGAAAGGAAGACGGAGGCAGUGGGCUCUGGGAGCAAAUAUCAAAACACACACUUCUGUGACGUGCAUUUGCUAUGGCAACAAAAUCAACAGAGGGAGCUGAAGGUCUCCUAAUUGGAACGUCAUCCUUCCUGAAGCACCAAACCUUGCAGAAAAGGGCCAAUUCCCUUUCAUGGGAAAAAGAGAUGUGGCGUAAUCCACCACAGAGAACAGAACAACUCCAGCCAUCUAUGGUUCAAGACCUGAUGAAAGAGUUCCUAAGUGCAAAGGGCACAGGGGCUGUGAGACAUCUGUAUUUCUGAGCACCAACUUCAGCCUUGAUGAGGUGAGACCUUCACAUUUACAAAGGUGAAUGAGAACAGCCUCUCUGACUUCUCCUCUCCAUGUACUCCACGGCAGGCUCUCGCUGGCUAGAAUGGAGAGCUGCUUCCUUGGCCUACUUAAGCUACUUCUCUUUUUGUCUUCUAAUUAGUGUUACUGCUGCU
Molecule: long non-coding RNA, 569 nt
Filed under: Fukomys damarensis (Damara mole-rat)
Lineage: Eukaryota; Metazoa; Chordata; Mammalia; Rodentia; Bathyergidae
Description: lncRNA (ENSFDAG00000025542.1)
Source: RNAcentral